CAUAGGUAAGUGAGGCAAACCGGGAGAACUGAAACAUCUAAGUACCCCGAGGAAAAGAAAUCAACCGAGAUUUCGUUAGUAGCGGCGAGCGAACGCGAAGGAGCCUGUUAGUGAUAAUGACAGAGACAGAGGAACAAGCUGGGAAGCUUGGCGAUACAGGGUGAUAGCCCCGUACUCGAAGUCCAGGUCAUGGUACUAAGCUAACGACAAGUAGGGCGGGACACGUGAUAUCCUGUUUGAAGAUGGGGGGACCAUCCUCCAAGGCUAAAUACUCCUGAUUGACCGAUAGUGAACCAGUACUGUGAAGGAAAGGCGAAAAGAACCCCGGUGAGGGGAGUGAAAUAGAACCUGAAACCUUGUACGUACAAGCAGUGGGAGCCCUUUAAGGGUGACUGCGUACCUUUUGUAUAAUGGGUCAGCGACUUAUAUUUUGUAGCGAGGUUAACCGAAUAGGGGAGCCGAAGGGAAACCGAGUCUUAACUGGGCGUCUAGUUGCAAGGUAUAGACCCGAAACCCGGUGAUCUAGCCAUGGGCAGGUUGAAGGUUGGGUAACACUAACUGGAGGACCGAACCGACUAAUGUUGAAAAAUUAGCGGAUGACUUGUGGCUGGGGGGGAAAGGCCAAUCAAACCGGGAGAUAGCUGGUUCUCCCCGAAAUCUAUUUAGGUAGAGCCUUGAGCGGACACCUUCGGGGGUAGAGCACUGUUUCGGCUAGGGGUCCAUCCCGGAUUACCAACCCGAUGCAAACUACGAAUACCGAAGAGUGAUACUCAGGAGACACACGGCGGGUGCUAACGUCCGUCGUGGAGAGGGAAACAACCCAGACCGCCAGCUAAGGUCCCAAAGUCUAUAUUAAGUGGGAAACGAAGUGGGAAGGCUUAGACAGCUAGGAUGUUGGCUUAGAAGCAGCCAUCAUUUAAAGAAAGCGUAAUAGCUCACUAGUCGAGUCGGCCUGCGCGGAAGAUGUAACGGGGCUCAAAUAUAGCACCGAAGCUGCGGCAUCAGACGAAAGUCUGUUGGGUAGGGGAGCGUUCUGUAAGCGGAUGAAGGUGGCUCGAGAGGGCUGCUGGACGUAUCAGAAGUGCGAAUGCUGACAUAAGUAACGAUAAAACGGGUGAAAAACCCGUUCGCCGGAAGACCAAGGGUUCCUGUCCAACGUUAAUCGGGGCAGGGUGAGUCGGCCCCUAAGGCGAGGCUGAAAAGCGUAGUCGAUGGGAAACGGGUUAAUAUUCCCGUACUUGGAUAAACUGCGAUGUGGGGACGGAGCAGGUUAGGUUAUCGCACUGUUGGAUAUGUGCGUUUAAGUUUGUAGGUGGGAAGUUUAGGCAAAUCCGGACUUCUUUAACACUGAGAGAUGAUGACGAGGCUCUACGGAGCUGAAGUAACCGAUACCACACUUCCAGGAAAAGCCACUAAGCUUCAGGUUUAUCUAAACCGUACUGAAAACCGACACAGGUGGUCAGGUAGAGAAUACUCAGGCGCUUGAGAGAACUCGGGUGAAGGAACUAGGCAAAAUAGCACCGUAACUUCGGGAGAAGGUGCGCCGGCGUAGAUUGUAGUCCCUAGCGGGCGAAGGUUGAACCGGUCGAAGAUACCAGCUGGCUGCAACUGUUUAUUAAAAACACAGCACUCUGCAAACACGAAAGUGGACGUAUAGGGUGUGAUGCCUGCCCGGUGCUGGAAGGUUAAUUGAUGGUGUAAUCGAAAGAGAAGCUCCUGAUCGAAGCCCCAGUAAACGGCGGCCGUAACUAUAACGGUCCUAAGGUAGCGAAAUUCCUUGUCGGGUAAGUUCCGACCUGCACGAAUGGCGUAAUGAUGGCCAGGCUGUCUCCACCCGAGACUCAGUGAAAUUGAAAUCGCCGUGAAGAUGCGGUGUACCCGCGGCUAGACGGAAAGACCCCGUGAACCUUUACUAUAGCUUGACACUGAACAUUGAAUUUUGAUGUGUAGGAUAGGUGGGAGACUUUGAAGCAGUCACGCCAGUGAUUGUGGAGUCGUCCUUGAAAUACCACCCUUUAACGUUUGAUGUUCUAACGAAGAUUACGAAACGUGGUCUCGGACAGUGUCUGGUGGGUAGUUUGACUGGGGCGGUCUCCUCCCAAAGAGUAACGGAGGAGCACGAAGGUUUGCUAAUGACGGUCGGACAUCGUCAGGUUAGUGCAAUGGUAUAAGCAAGCUUAACUGCGAGACAGACAAGUCGAGCAGGUACGAAAGUAGGUCAUAGUGAUCCGGUGGUUCUGAAUGGAAGGGCCAUCGCUCAACGGAUAAAAGGUACUCCGGGGAUAACAGGCUGAUACCGCCCAAGAGUUCAUAUCGACGGCGGUGUUUGGCAC
Molecule: ribosomal RNA, 2333 nt
Filed under: human gut metagenome
Description: bacterial LSU rRNA
Rfam family: Bacterial large subunit ribosomal RNA
Source: RNAcentral